This 253-nucleotide ribosomal RNA is filed under the name Morganella morganii. Its description in RNAcentral is "partial 23S ribosomal RNA". It matches the Rfam family "Bacterial large subunit ribosomal RNA", at positions 2696 to 2925 of the family's 2925-position model. Lineage: Bacteria; Pseudomonadati; Pseudomonadota; Gammaproteobacteria; Enterobacterales; Morganellaceae. The record is from RNAcentral.
AGUGAACGCACCACUGGUGUACGGGUUGUGAUGCCAAUUGCAUUGCCCGGUAGCUAAGUGCGGAAGAGAUAACCGCUGAAAGCAUCUAAGCGGGAAACUUGCCUCGAGAUGAGUCUUCCCUGACCCUUUAAGGGUCCUGAAGGAACGUUUGAGACUAAGACGUUGAUAGGCUGGGUGUGUAAGCGCAGCGAUGCGUUGAGCUGACCAGUACUAAUGAACCGWGAGGCUUAACCUGACAACACCGAAGGUGUUU